ACGGGUGAGUAACACGUGGACAAUCCUGACCCCCCGGCCCGGGAUAGCCCAGGGAAACCUGGAUUAAUACCGGAUGAGACGGGACCCGCGAUGGCGGGACCCGGGAAAGGCGCUGCGGCGCCGCCGGGGGAUGAGUCUGCGUCCCAUUAGCUAGACGGCGGGGUAACGGCCCACCGUGGCGACGAUGGGUAGCCGGCCUGAGAGGGUGACGGCCACAUUGGAACUGAGACACGGUCCAGACUCCUACGGGAGGCAGCAGCUAAGAAUCUUCCGCAAUGGGCGAAAGCCUGACGGAGCGAACCGCCGCGUGAACGAAGAAGGCCGUGAGGUUGUAAAGUUCUUUUCGGGAGGGGGAACAACCGUGGCAGGGAAUGGCCGCGGGAUGACGUGAAUCCCGGAAUAAGCCCCGGCUAACUACGUGCCAGCCGCAGC
RNAcentral lists this ribosomal RNA (432 nucleotides) under uncultured bacterium. RNAcentral's name for it is "bacterial SSU rRNA". It matches the Rfam family "Bacterial small subunit ribosomal RNA", at positions 102 to 518 of the family's 1533-position model. The record is from RNAcentral.